UACGUAGGGCGCAAGCGUUGUCCGGAAUUAUUGGGCGUAAAGAGCUCGUAGGCGGCUUGUCACGUCGGGUGUGAAAGCCCGGGGCUUAACCCCGGGUCUGCAUUCGAUACGGGCUAGCUAGAGUGUGGUAGGGGAGACUGGAAUUCCUGGUGUAGCGGUGAAAUGCGCAGAUAUCAGGAGGAACACCGGUGGCGAAGGCGGGUCUCUGGGCAACAACUGACGCUGAGGAGCGAAAGCGUGGGGAGCGAACAGG
Molecule: ribosomal RNA, 253 nt
Filed under: uncultured bacterium
Lineage: Bacteria
Description: partial 16S ribosomal RNA
Rfam family: Bacterial small subunit ribosomal RNA
Source: RNAcentral